Molecule: non-coding RNA, 21 nt
Filed under: Arabidopsis thaliana (thale cress)
Lineage: Eukaryota; Viridiplantae; Streptophyta; Magnoliopsida; Brassicales; Brassicaceae
Source: RNAcentral
UCGUCGUUCACUGCCCUCACC